Molecule: long non-coding RNA, 423 nt
Organism: Gasterosteus aculeatus aculeatus (three-spined stickleback)
Lineage: Eukaryota; Metazoa; Chordata; Actinopteri; Perciformes; Gasterosteidae
Source: Ensembl
CUCUGACGAAGCCGUAGACGGGGAAUUGAAGAGAGGGCGCCACCACGAGCCGUUUCCUUAAUUGUCCUUUCAUCACGUCGGGGAGGCGAUGAUAACUUAUAAUGCGAGUGGGACCCCCGGACCCCCCCGACUCCCGGAAAGACCCUGCGUUUGUGUUUUGUCUACAGCCGCUCCAACCUCUCCUUGUUUGUGUGCUCGUGCUACCACGUGUUUCGACUGAGCGGUGGGUUUAAUCCAGGACCUCUGAGACCAGAACCGUGACGAUGGAGGGGGAUCUCUUCGCUUGGCUCUCAGCGAGGUCACACCAGAAAGGAUGUCUUCUCUUCUCCUCACAUGGAAAUGUGGGCGGUGCCGUUAAAGAGACCUUGGAGGCAGCAAAUGUGACACCCUUGCAGUGACGCCCCAUGAAGGACACCACAGAUU